CCCUAAAUAAUUAAAGUUUUGUAUUUUCAACUAGAGUUCAAUAUUAGCUUAUGAUAGUUAUUAUUAUCAUUAUUAUUAUUACCAAAAUUAUUAUUACUGUUAUUUUAGAGGCAGGUUAUCAAUAUGUAGUCCUAGCUGUCCUGGAGCUCACUAUGUAGACCAAGGCUGGCCUCAAACUCACAGAGAUACACCUGCCUCUGCCUCUGCUGGGAAUAAAAGUGUGCACUACUACACAUGAGCCUAGUUCAUGAUGUGUUUUAAAUAAUUUAAUUUAAAAUAUAGACUACUAGACUUUGUUUUGACAGUAUUCAUGCAUGCCUCAUUUUGGUUGCUCUCUCCCCCUCUCUUUCCCUAUAUCUCUCUGUCUUCCAUCCCUGCUUGUUCCCUUCUGCUCUCAGUGUUCCUCCUUACAGUUAUAUAUCACGAUUCUUUUCUGAGGGGAACAGAAAUCUACAUAUAGCAGAAUCCACAGAUUUUGCAGUAGUGUUAUGUAAGUCAGUCUUCCAAGAAGAUAUGAAAUAUUUCUAUACCUUGGAAAGUUUCCCAUCUGUCCUCUGGGCUGUCUCCAUUUUGACUUCUAACACAGAGUAUUGCCCAUGAUUUUCAUAAGUAGAAUCUAGAGACUUAUUAUAGACUGAUGACAGGAGUGUUUGUGAGCUCUGUGGUGCAUGACAUGUCUCUGAUCAUACCACAGAUGUUGGAACUAGGAGCUGUGUUUCUUCCACAAUAAAUUUUUGUAAAAGUAUAGCCCUUCCAUAAAAAUGAAAAGGAAUGUAUGGGCACAAAAGAAUAACAGUGGUGAGGAGCCAAAUUUUGUUUGACCAAAACGAAACCUAAUACUUAGUAUACUAAUUAAAAAAAACCAGUCCUUUAUUCAGCAGACAUUUAGCUAUCUGAGACCGUCCUAAACACUGUGGCAGACAUUGUAGAAUCAAAUGAAUACAGAUAGUAUUAUAGGGGUUGUGAUAAAAAUAGAGAGUAUGGUACAGCACCAAGGAGGGCACAGUUUGGCUCUUUCAACCUUGGAAACAGAUAAGGAAGAUCUCAGAGAGGAGGGGAUAUUUGAGCUGGGUAUUAUAAAGACCAAGAUGGCCAGCCUUCAUAUAAUUAAAGAGUAAGAACAGAGAUUUGAAGAUGAGCAGAGGAGUGAAGGAGUGUUGUGGGGAAUAGUUUUCCUAAACUAGAAAGGCUAUAUAGAUUAAGCUCAAGUGAAAAGUAUGUAGGGCUUUACACAACAUGUGAAUGUUUGCAUUAUUUCUGCAGUGCAGGGAGAAUUUAAAAGAUUUAUUUGUUUAUGAUGUUUGCUUAGGAAUACUAUACUCAAGAGACUGAAAAACUUAAAGAAAUAAGAGAGAUUUGCUUUUGGUUGUUCUGGAAGUCACUGUAGAGCCUAGCCUAGCUUCAUACCAUACUUGUGUCUCUGCCUCUAGUGUUUUGAUGUUACAGGCAUAUGUAGCCAUAUCUAAUUUUAGUUAGAUGUUUAAGAGUGCCUUAUGAUCAACUUAUAAGCACAUUUCUUCUUUGUGUUAUUGAACUAUAAUUUUAUAUUAUCUGACUCUUCCUCUGUUUAUCUUUCUGAUAUGACAGGCAGUAUGCCAGUAUCUGACAAAUCCCUAUAUAUCUGACUCCCUGCUUGUUAUAAAGCUGUGAAUGUAUAUUAUAAUUACUCAGGCCAGUCCAGAUGCAGUAACAUUUCUGAAACAACUGCUGGCAAUUUGGGAUCCUGGGUUUGGGGCUAUCAGGUAAUCAUGCGUGACUCCUGGGGCAGUCUUUGCCCUUUGCUGGUACAGUUGUGCUACAACAGAGAACAGAAAUAGUUUGUCACCUAACUUGCAUUCAUGUGUAGAUGCUGUUGCAUUAUACCAUGAGACUACCAAUGAGUUUUUCAUUCUCUCACCCAUUCAGCAGACACACAGUGAGUACUUAUCAUUGAGCAAGCUCUCUUUAUGCUUCAAAUCUAAAGUCAUACACAACAUGACUCACCAGCAAAUAGAGAAAAAGAUAAAUACAUUAGUACUAUAGUAGACUUUCCCAAGUCCUGGAAAGGAGGCAUUAUAUGGAUAUGUGGAAGAAGUAAAAUCUCACUGGACUCUCUCUGUGUCAGAAUUCUUUUACCUGCACAGUAAGAUUAAUAAUGGUGAUGGUGGUGUUGGUGGUGGUGUUGAUGAUGAUGUUUUUCUUCUACGGUUGUCUUGCAGAUUGAGAGUUCUUCCUUGGCAUGCAAGCCUACACACCCAUUUGUUGUCCUUUGUCAGUGCUUCCAAGAUGUAACACAUUUGAUACAGAGUUAACCAAGUCCGCAUCAGAGUUGGCUCUAUGUACAUCUGACUCUGAUAUCACAUUUUUCAUGUCUCCCUAGGUUGUCAACUAUUCAGCUGGCAACCAGUUAAUUAAAACAUUCACCAAGGGCUGGGAACAUAACUCAGUAGUAAAAGUGCUUGUCUGUUAUGCAAGAGGCUGUGUUUCAUGCCUAGUACUGGGAAAAUAGUUCUGGAAAUCUGUGAAUGCCAACACAUACAUCUUCAUUAGUGCUGUGGUGGAAUUCUUUGUAUUCUCUCUCUCAAACAAGAGUCAGAUUGGGCUCUCUAUACUCACACCCAGUGGUGCUGAAGAUUGCUGCCAGCCUGGCUUAAUUUAAGCCUGUGACUUUAGACUCAAUGCUAUUUUCAACCCAAAGAUGCCCGUUUCCAAGUAAAAGGUGAGACCUUUGGACAGAAAACAGAUUAUCUUCUACUGGUUUAAUUUUUUAAAACUGUGUUUCUCAUUUUCAGUUGGACUCUUCAAAACUAUACUAUUUUGUUCAGCUGUGUAAAGUGGUUGUUGGAAGCUAGAAACAUUGGAAGGGCAUUGAACACUGAGAAGGUCUCUGGACUAGCUACUGGGUCUGACUUCAUCAUUAGUUCUGCUGUCACAAAAUAUCCAAGACUGGGCAAUUUACAAACAGUGUAAACUUAUUUAUCACAGUUGUGUCAGUGGAAAUCUAAAAUGAAGGUUCUGACAGGUCCUGUAUCUAGUAAAGGCGUGGUCUCAGUUUCUAAGAUGGCACUUGGCUGGCCUGGCACUCACAAUGUAGACCAGGCUAUCUUCUAACUCAUAGAGAUCUGCCUGCUUCUGUAUCCCAAGUGCUGGGACUAAAGGAGUUUAUCAGCACAUCUGGUUUUUUCAGCCUUUUGAUGAUAUUGCCAACGUAAGUCAAUUACUUCCCCAAAGGAGCCACUUCUUGUUACUACUAAUCUAUUACUGGUGGAGGUGGAGUGCUCACACAGGUAUGCCAAGCACUGAGACUCUAGGCUCAUCUCUAUUCUACCAGAGGAGGAAGAACUUUGCCAGUUUAAUUUCACUCCUGGAGGUUAUCUUUAGGGACAAUUUAUAUGUUUCUUUUAACAUCCAAGACUUUAAACUUAUAACCUUAUAAAAAGCCAAAGAUUAAAUGUAACUAAAUGGAAUCUUUAUCCUUUGUCUGAAUGUUUAAUAUAUGAAUUUUGGUCAAAUACAAUCUCCUUUCGUACUGGAUUCAACUACUGCAGAUAAUUCUUUUAGUCACUUGUUCACCUGCUUAUACUAUUUAAAACUGUCAUGAGCUUCAUCUUCGUUUCUGAGAAGUGGGGGGCAGAGUCUGCGAAAGACAUUUCAGAACUAGAGCAGAACUCAGUGGGCCUUCAUAGCUAUAAAGAGUGGUGAAAGAACCCCAAAAUUUGGGGAGACUCUCGCUCCAGUCUCAGGAUGGCGGCGUGCCCCAGGACACUCGAGAAGCCGAUCUUGAUGUAAUAACAAGAGGCAGCUUUAUUAACGAGAUCUCGGACUGACACCGAGGUCUUGGGCCGACAAGCAUCUCACGCAGGAGAUAGAGGAGCCGACCACGAGCCUCUUCAGGCAGGGGUUUAUAUAGGGGAAGCCAGGGGAUUUCUCGAGGUUACACAGGAUUGGCUAAUUCAAAGAACUCACAGUUAUUUUUGGCGCGGGAUUACAUCAGCAAAGAGUACAGUGCUAUCUAGCUGCUCAGCAGUGUGGGUAGGGUGACUCAUCUCACUCAGCAGGGGGAUGACCCAUCCUCAGGGAGUGAAGGAAGGGGAGGAGGUGACUCCAGCCGAUCGCCAUGGAAAUAACUGCCAUGAGGACCGAGGUUUGAUCUGUACUGUUGUCUGCUGAACCUGUUCUGCUGAUGAGCUCGACAUGAGCAAUGGUGACCUAGACCCGUGGUCAGGAGAUAGAGUUACUGAAGAUCUCUCUGAUACUCUGGUGGCAGUCAGCAUCCCAGAGAGGGUCCGUUAUUUAGAUCUGCGAUCCAGCACCCACAUAGAUCCGCCAUCCUUGCAGAUAGCUCGCUCGGUGGAAGUCAGACACAUGAAGCAAUGAAUCUCAACUUUCUAUGGCAACUACAGAAGGCAUCCCUGAGCAACUUUUAAAUAUCACCAUUUUUACUCUCCUUUUUUGUUCCCUCCACCUACGUACCCGUAUUCACUUUUAUUUUUUUAAUAUGUAAUUACUUUCUCUCAUUUUAUUUGUUGGGUCAAGGUUGAGACACAAAAGAGUGACAGGGUAGGCAUAGCCAUCCCACCUAGGUGACUCCUCUGGUUUCACUGUCUUUGUGUCAUCAUGGCAGCUCACAGGCCAUCAGAACUGGCGUGGUUCCUCACUGCCUUUCACCAGAGGGAGAACCCUUCUCUCACCAGCGGGGACGCCUCCUUGGUUUUGAAGCUGAAGUCUCUCUGGCCCAUUGUAAGCCCCCAUUCGUGCACAAAAGGGAAGGCAGAAGCUCGAUUCAAAACGCUGCAGCUGCCUCUGGUAGGAUGUGGGAUGCCAGUCCAGGAAACAGGGCAGCUUCCUUUGAGCCCAGAGUGACUCUGAACUGGGCGGCCAUAAAGAGCCAGGCAGACCUACCUGUGAGUUGCUCCAGUCUCCCUCCAGCUGUUGGGAGGUCAGUGUGCCUGGGCUGGCUGCUUUUGGAAAGUCCUUUAUCUCUUUCCCACUUGGCAGCUCUCCUUAGUUCUGGGAUAUUUGCCACCGGUAGUACUGCCAGGAAGGAAUCAGGCCUUCUCCUGUUCCAUUUCUCUUUGUUUCAAGGUCAGUUUUGUGGUAAUUUACUUAAAAUAUGCCAACUUAGGAAAAUCGCUGUUUGGUCUUUCACUUUAGAUGGGAACAGGCUCGACGUUGUGGAUAGUUCAGUAGAAAAGACCUUUAAAUUAGAUGAGUAAGCUAUUCAAAGAUCAGAAUGUAGUGCCGGUUGUCUUUAAAAAAUAUUUUGUCUUCUGAUGAUCGUUGCUACCAGAAUCAUUAAAGCCUUAAGCAUCAGGAUACCAAACAACAGGUGAGGUGGGGACUUUCUUGUAUGGCUUUCAGAAGACAGAGUAACUCAUGCCGGCAGCAUAUUUGACAUUAAUAAAUGGCAGAGCCUUCCCAUUUCCCAGGAGUUGGGACUUUCACUGAGACUUUUCUUUCAAGAGGCUUUUCUAGGAUGGGAAAUAAGGUCGAAUUCAAGCAUUUCAGAGGCACACAGAGACAGUUUCUUUUCUGCCGAAUAAGGUUUUUUCCCCCAAUUUCUUUUUUAUUUCCUCAGUAAAUUUCUUUUCCCCUGUCUUUGGGAACAUAUAAUGCCUUUUUAAAAAGGAUACUUGGGCUUGGUCAUUUCAAAACCAAAAUCUCAGUUAGGAGAUUGCUGUUUCCCUUCCCUGGCAUCCAGAAAAAUCCGGGUCUUGGUUUGGAAGCCUUUAGUUCUCACUCUAAUGAGCUGACCUUAGAAACAAUUUGAGUAGUACUUUGUCUCAGCAUCUGAGAACUGUCUUUUGGGGUAGAUAUUCAAGUUAAGACAAUACUAGCAUUUGUCUACUAAGAAGUUAUAUAGAACACCAAUGAGGCUUUAAUACAGGGCAUUCUUAAUUUUUAUUUGAGACUUUUAGCCCAUUUCUUUUUACUUAUUUAGAAUCCUUAAAAAACUUUUGAAAUGUCAUUUAGUAUCAAUUGUUCGGAGGCAUAUUUUUCUGAAGAAAUAAGUUUUAAAACAAGAAGGCUUUUUGAUUUUAUAUUGUACUAUAUAAAGUUAGCCUAAGUGUAUUGUAUUAAAUUUUUAUUUAAGUUGAAAAGCAAUACAUAUCAAGUCUUAUUAAAAAUGGCUGGGCAUGAACAUGCCAUCUCAGCGCUUAAGAUGCAGAGACAAGAGAACGUGCUUGCAAAUUCAAGGUCACCCUUGCCUAUGUAGUGACUUCCAGGCCAGCCAAAAAGCAAAGUUGACUCAAAACAGACAAACACUAAAUCUAAAACACCAAACAAUAGCCAACAUCCCAGCCCCCAAAAGGUUCUUUUUGCAGUGUUUAGUAUGUUUCUUUAGUCUUUUUAUUGUAAAAAGUUCUUAAACCAUAUACUAAUCAUAGUGGGUUAUGAUGUUGUGAUAUUUCUCCCAAUGUUCUCUUUUCUUCUUCAUCCCAUUCCUGCCUAUCGGGUUUCACUGGGGCUUCUCACAAGAGCAUAAGCAAGAGGAUUAGUUUGUUUCUUUAACAAGAGCAUAGGCAAUGCCUCUCCCUCUCCCAGCUACCAUUUAAUUGUCUAUGGAUCUUCUGGGAAGGGUAGAGUCUCAUGAACCUCUUCGCCAACCAAGUCAGAAUGUUGAUGGGCCCAGUCUUGUGCAUGACUGGUGCGGGCAAUCGCAGCUGCUGAGAGUUCAAGAGUAUAACUGUCAUGCAAUACUUGCGAAACAGCAUUGUGCAUCACUCCACUCCUGGCUCUGAUGUGAAGGGAUGAUACAGAUGUCGCACUUACAGGUGAACACUGAGCUGCUGUUUAUGCUCAACACAUAGAUAAGUUCUGAGUCUGUACAAUAACUGCUGUCUCCUGUAGAAAGAAAGUUUUCUUGCCAAAGUGCUUAAAUCAGCACUAGUUUAUAGGAAUAAACAGAAACAUCUAGAAAGCAAUUUUAUGGACAUAUAAUGUCACUUUAUCAAAAUAGCAGUGUCAGCUUCCCGCUAAGACCAGUGUUCUCCCCAAUCAUGGACCUUCUACCAAGUUUACAGUUGCAAAUCCACUCCUGUUGAGCAGGCCUCAAUCUCAAUAAGAAAAUGGCUGGUUAUGCUCCAAAUAGUCAUGCUACUACUAAACUUGUUGGCAUGUCUGACAGCUUACUGAUACUCACAGUGAUGUGCACCUGCAGCCCUGGGUUCAAGGACAGCCUGGCAACAAACUGAUAAUCUUUGUAAGGAAAAGGAGAAAGCUUGUUUAAAGAGUUUGUCCACAUUUUCUGUAUCUAUUCCUCUGUUGAGGGACAUCUGGGUUUUUUCCAGUUUCUGAUUAUUAUAAAUAAGGCUGCUAUGAACAUAGUGGAGUGAACAUAGUCCUUGUUAUAUGUUGGAGCAUAUUUUGGGUAUAUGCCCAGGAGUGGUAUAGCUGGGUCCUCAGGUAGUACUAUAUCCAAUAUUCUGAGGAACCUCCAGACUGAUUUCCAGAGUGGUUGUACCAGCUUGUGGUACAAUUUACACAAUGGAGUACUACUCAGCCAUUAAAAACAAUGACUUCAUGAAAUUCACAGUCAAAUGGAUGGAACUAGAAAAUAUCAUCCUGAGUGAGGUAACCUGGUCACAAAAGAACACACAUGGUAUGUGCUCACUGAUAAGUGGAUAUUUAAAAAAAAGCUCAGUGCCCAUAUGAAGCUCAAGAAGAAGGAAGCCCAAAGUAUGGAUGCUUCAAUCCUUCUAAGAAGGGGGAACAAAAUAAUCAUAGGAGGUAGAGGGAGAGAAGGACUUGAGAGGGAGAGAGGAAGAAGAUGGAAAAAGAAGGGCAAGACCAGGUAUGGAAGGAGAUGGGGGAGAUGUACAGAGGUUCAGGAAAUUGAACAAGGGUGUGUAGUAGUGGGGGAUGGGGAACUGGGGGCAGCCACUAGAAAGUCCCAGAUGCCAGGAAAGCAAGAGGCUCCCAGGAUGCAACAAGGAUAACAUUAGCUGAAAUACCCAACAAAGGGGAGAGAGAACCUGUAAAGACCAUGUACAGAGGUUAGGCAUGGCCCUAAUUAAGAAAUGGGACCACCCACCUAUCUCAAAAAUAUUAACCCAGAAUUGCUCCUGUCUAAAGGAAAUACAGAGACAAAGAGUGAAACAGAAACUGAAGGAAAGGUCAUCCAGAGAUUGCCCUACAUGAGGAUCCAUCCCAUAUGUACACACCAAACCCAGUCACUAUUGCUGAUGCCAAGAAGUGCUUGCUGGCAGGAGCCUGAUAUUGUCUCCUGAGAGGCUUUCCCAGAGCCUGACCAAUGCAGAUGGGGAUGCUUGCAGCCAACCAUUGAACUGAACAUGGGGACUCCAAUGGAGGAGUUAGGAGAAGGACUGAAGGAUCUGAACGCCAUAGGAAGAACAGCAAUCUCAACCAACUAGACCCCACAGAGCACUCAAGGACUAAUCUACCAACCAAGGAGUACACAUGGAGGGACCCAUGGCUCCAGCUACAUAUGAAGCAGAGGAUGGCCUUAUUUGGCAUCAGUGGGACGGGAGGCCCUUGGUCCUGUUGGAAUUCAUUGCCCCAGUGUAGGGGAAU
Molecule: non-coding RNA, 8514 nt
Organism: Rattus norvegicus (Norway rat)
Lineage: Eukaryota; Metazoa; Chordata; Mammalia; Rodentia; Muridae
Source: RefSeq, a predicted model, not a curated record